Long non-coding RNA from Gadus macrocephalus (Pacific cod), 4678 nucleotides. RefSeq lists it as uncharacterized. Lineage: Eukaryota; Metazoa; Chordata; Actinopteri; Gadiformes; Gadidae. The transcript has 2 exons. The record is from RefSeq and is a predicted model, not a curated record.
CCCCCCCCCCCCCCACCCCUAAAUAGUUUUUGAACCUUUUAAAAAAAUACAAAAAGGAGAAAAAGGAAGGGGGGUCAAGUUAAAGGGGGUCUGUGACCCAGCCAGGACGGGAUAGAUCCUAUAUAUCACUACAUGACCUGUGACCCGGAAGAGGAAGUUGGGUGUGUCUGUGUGUGUGUGUGUGUGUGUGUGUGUGUGUGUUUCUGGCACCUUUGGUCUGGAGCGUACAGGACUGGAAGCUGGGGGGAGGGGAGGGGAGGGGAGGGGGGGGGGGGGGGGGGGGGAGGUUCGGCCAAGCUGUGCAACGCCAGAGUCGAACAAACGUCGAAGAAUGGGGAAUGAAAUAAGUAACGACAUCCAGAACACGCAAGGAAGAGGUGGAGGGUAAAAUGGCGGACUCAGAAUAAAUAUUUGGAGUUUAUUUUCUGUUGUUUGUUUCGUUUUCUUUUUUCUUUUUUAACCUUGUCCGUUUUAGAUGGGUGACUGAAAAGCAUUAGUGUGCGGGAUUGUUAUGUUUAUGCCUGUGUGUGUGUGUGUGUGUGUGUGUGUGUGUGUGUGUUUAUCCAUUGUUUUGUUUUUUAAAGAAAGUGUUAACCUGUUGCAGUAUGCAUCUGUAAUGCGUCACGUGGUUGGCAACACUCUGUGUCCCGGUGAGUAUGAGGGUCUAUGUAUGUAGAUACGUGCGUGAGUGUGCGUGCAUGCUGGGGUGACUUAACUUUCUCAGUGUAUUUCCCAGCCCCCCCCCCAUCUCCCCGUAUGAUUUCCUAGCUUGUGUUAAACGAGUGCAGCUGUCGGGCUUGGGUUAGGUUGGGGGGGGGGGGGGGGGGGGGGGGUUGUUGGUCAUGUGAUCCCGGCCGAACACGCUCAUGCCAGUAAAGAUAUGCAUGCAUCUAUUUGAACGGUGGGAGAGUGGAUGACUUAAGGGGAAGUAUCUACAUAUGUUUUAAUGUACACAAAGGACAACCAACGCAGCCCUGAGUCGUGUGUGUGUGUGUGUGUGUGUGUGUGUGUGUGUGUGUGUGUGUGUGUGUGUGUGUGUGUGUGUGUGUGUGUGUGUGUGUGUGUGUGUGUGUGUGUGUGUGUGUGUGUGUGUGUGUGUGUGUGUGUGUCCAGGCUGCGCCGUAUGUGCUGCUCUGGCUUCGCCUGACUCUGCGGUGGCGUCCUGCUCAUAUUGUCUCUCAGUAAGCCCCCUCCGCUCUCUAAAGCCCCCGUAGGAGUGCGGGUGGGCGGGUUCUCUUAUUGUAGUUCGGUUGUUUUCUCCCCGAUUGGUCCCUUUUUUUUUUGUUUUGUUUUUAAAGCUUCAAAAUGCACUGCCAGCUCACUGCAGCAAUCCCUAGCAGAGGUAAAACUAAAUCUGCCGUUUUAGGGUUAGAUUUUCGAAAGGCGUAGAGAAGUGUGCCCUGGUGAUUGGUUCCAUCUGAUUUAUUAUUCUGUUGCUCCUGUUGCAAGUGCCACUCAACCAACCCCCCCCCCCCCCCCUCCUCCAUACUUAGUGUUCCUCUAGGUCAUAUUUCGUAGUUUUGUCUUCAUUUUUGUUUUUAUUCCCUCUUAGUUUCGUGGUUGAAAGGACGGCAGUCCGAGCGAUCGCCUCCACGGCGGCCUCCUUGUUUCCCUGGGAGGACACUCUGCUAACGGUUAACUGCUAAUGAUCCUCGAGGCCAACACGCUGGCUCAACAGAUGCGCCCGGGCGCCCAGUCUCAGACCUACGUCGGCUAUGGGAGAGAGUUAACAUUUGCAAUUCGCUGUAUAUUUUUUGCAAAGUAAUCAUGAACAAAAGGCAGUCGCACUUGUGUUGGCUAUUGCAGUUAACGUGUAUGUGUCCGAGUUCGCACUAAAAUGCACUAACUGGGGAGCCUUCCUCCAAUAGGGUGUGGGCCCCCUUUACGUGACAAUGCCAAUAGAUUGAAUUCCUCAUUUAUUUUCCAAUUGUCUUUGUUUCCCCGUUGUACGCGCGUGAAUGACGAUUGGUGCUGUAGUAUGCAGUUGCGGGACAAUCAAUGUUGUUGUUUUUUGGACAGGAAAUGUGUGUUCAGGACCCACUAAGGAUGCAGUAGGUUCCUUUUUGACACGGCGUUCUGCAGGAAAUGCUUCACCUCGCUUUGGCCCACCUCUUAGAUACCGUGGUAGAUUAGGACGGUCUGAGCCCGCUGCUGAUUGAUAAACCGUGGGAUUAACCUUCCCCUAUAGGAAGCUCAGGCAUGGCAUUUUCUUGUUGAAGAUGUAUAGCCUAGUGAAAGGCAGUAUCGAGAGCCCUGCCGCUCUUGGGUCCCUGGCAUGCUAGCGGGACACAAAGAGGUGUUAGGUGCAGGCCUAUCGUUUUUCAGGGCAGUACUAGUAGGCUUUCGGCCCUGGGUGGUCUGGGGUUCUUAGUGGAGGCUGUGGCCUCGCUCGAGACCCUGGUCUCCGCACCGUGUUCUUCCGGCCUACAUAGGCUGGACGGAUGGCGUGUUUCUGUUGUCGUGUCAAUGCAGAACCUCUGCUGCCUGCUACGCAUUCACAGCAACACUUAUACUCAACACAGUUGUUCAAGGCUUGCAUAUGCGGUCGGUCUGGGCGUGGUCUUUCAGCAAGGAAUUGCCUCUUUUUGCGGACCCCAUCAAUGCAAAAGUAGGGGCUUUUGCAUUGCUGUCUCGGGAGUUCUCGGAUUAACUAAAUUGAGUAAGGUUUAAAUUGUGUGUCCAAAUAUCAGCCCAAAAGCGUGGAUUUUCAGAUGAAAUACUUUCCCCCUCGUCUCUGAAAAUCCGCAACCGCAACCUGAUUAUGCCGUACCACGGUACCAGGUGUUGAAUGACCCUUAUUUAUAAUCACGUACAAAAGCAGUGUUGAGCAGGAGACGGCAGAGAAGGAAUUGCAGAAUAAAUUUUUUGAAGCAGUCUAACCUCUCAUCGUGGUUGUGUUGUAGGCCUUUUUGUGUGUGUGUGUGUGUGUGUGUGUGUGUGUGUGUGUGUGUGUGUGUGUGUGUAAAUCAGACCUAUUUUAACUUUAUCUUUCUCUAUUUACUUUUAAUUUGCCAACCUCAGUAAAAGCGUCAAGUACAUAAAUAAUUUGACCUGUUAGUCCAGUCAUCCAAAUGUUAGAAUUUCAACUGACAGACUUUAUUUUUUUAGGCUUGUUGUUGGAAGUCGAUGCACUUUGAUCCUGUCUACAUUUCCCAUCAAGCACCCUGUCCAAAACAACAUGAAAUGUUCAACAUUGAUGUUUAUAGCGGGAUGCUUUUGACACACUGUGAAAUGGUUUUAUUACCUCAAGACGAGUUUAAAAGAUGGCAUUUUAUCCACCUAAAGUAAAAUAUUAAAUAAAACUGGUCAAAUUAGUUUUACCUCAUUAAGCUGUGGUCAAUGACCAUAGCUUGAAACCCAUACAGUAGGUGCAUGGUGUGGACUGAAAGGCAGAGUGGAUGUUUACUGACCAGCCCAUUGAAACCAUUGAACAACUCAAAAGAAAGAUUAGUUAACCUUUUUUAAUACGUGAUUUUUUUAUUCUUUGUGUCUUGGUUGUAUUGAGCCCUCCUUUUUGUAAGGCUUGAAAAGGGGUUUUGGUUUAUAUUGCUGUGGAUUAUAUUCCUCCAGCAAUGAGGUUUGAUUGAGAAGAUUUCCAGAAGAUGUAUAAUUUCAGCAUUGGUCAUUUCAAAGCGUUUCCUUUUCAAAAGUUCACGGCGUCAUUGAUCCGACUCUUCCUCAGUUUCACGGUGGUUUCCAUCCUAGCUUUUUUCCCCAUUUUGUUUCCUUCCCCGCUGCUCUUUGUAACCCCCGAGACCCAACCGCUUCCUCGCUCAGUGCAUUUAAAUAAUUUGAAUAUCGCCUAUUUUACCAAAAGUUGUGUUGUUGGUUAGCCAUUAAGAGCGAGUUAUCAGAAUAUAUAUAUUAAUAUAUAUGAAUUUGAGUGUCCACCCAAAUGCUAAACAAGGGGUCCUUUUAAUGAGGAAGUGAGUUGGCACUGUGUGUUUCAUGAGUUCAGUCACGCUUUUAUUUUGGUAGCAAAAAUUUGAAACUCUUCUAGUGUCACGAAUGGUUUAUAGCAUUGGGUGCACACUGUCCAUUAAAAGAAAAUAUAUACGCCCGAAGCUAGGUGUGCCAGCGUUGCAUUCAGACAAACAAGGGUUCAACACAUUGAAGGGGUUUUAAGGCACGUUUUGUUUAUGACCUACAGCCUUCUUCUUCAGUCAUUUCAGUUGUAAUCUCUGACCUGCACGUUUCACCGUCUGCUAUUGGCAUUAAACAACUACCGCGCCUGAUCGGUGGACUGGGAUAAGACCAGUUUGGUGUUUGUAACCACUCUGACCCCAUGUAGGAAAACAGCCGUUUCUCUAUCUCAGAUGGCCAGGAAUAAGUUUUGUCUACGAUCUGCACUUGUUUUCAGAGACGUUUUUUUGAUACAGUUUUAUCUCGGCCUUCGUCUGGAUGAUGAAAACGUGACGCUAUGAUGACAGAGGCUAGCUCGCCUUGCGAGUGUGUGUGCGUGUGUGUGUGUGUCUGUGUGUGCCUGUGAGUGGGUGCGUAUUAGGGGGGGGGGGGGGCUUAAGUAAAGGUUUGUAUUUUCUUUUGUGCAUGUUUUAGUUUUCUGUGUUUGUUUCCCAUGCCGCUGCGAUUCAUUUUGAUCUGAAGGUUUUCCAGCAACAGGUUUAUUUAAUGUGGAAAGAACACAGAAAUAAAUUAUUUCAUUUUUUUCUAUUGUCAA